AGAGUUCAAGAUGACGACGCCGCUGGAAGCUGCUUCGAUCUGCGACGGUGGCAGUUUCGCUGACAGAAGCUCCGAUUCGGCGUCAAUUGUGGUAGUGACGGUGGAGUUUGUUGGAGGAAGUUAGAAGAGGAAAUUAGGGUUGAGGAGGUGAGGUGAGUGGCUUCGCGACGAGCACAGAGACGUUGAGGAAGAGAAGAGUGGCGGCGGCUGGGGGCUGAUGGUAGCGGCGAAUGGGGGCUGACGGUAGCGGCGGCUGGGGGCUCUGAUAGGGUUAGGGAUUUGAAUGUGAGAGUGAGAGAGAAGAGAGAGGGGUAGGGACGUAGACGUAGUGCUGUU
Molecule: non-coding RNA, 336 nt
Organism: Arachis ipaensis
Lineage: Eukaryota; Viridiplantae; Streptophyta; Magnoliopsida; Fabales; Fabaceae
Source: RefSeq, a predicted model, not a curated record